Molecule: non-coding RNA, 216 nt
Organism: Pelobates cultripes (western spadefoot toad)
Lineage: Eukaryota; Metazoa; Chordata; Amphibia; Anura; Pelobatidae
Source: the annotation of a GenBank genome assembly
CACAGAUCUCUUCUGACGAGAGAUACGAGAACCUCACACAAAGUGUAAGGGGAAAAAAUGGUUUACCAGAAUGGAAUAUGUCUACAGACGAAGGGGCUUAUUCACUAAACACUGAGCUGUUGUGACUUGAAAAUCGACAUAUAAAACUUAGCUUAACAUAACAGAUCUGGAACAAAACAAUGACCCUGAGAUUUUUUAUAUUCAGCUCAGCUAUUG